RNAcentral lists this long non-coding RNA (247 nucleotides) under Lathyrus oleraceus (garden pea). RNAcentral's name for it is "Pisum sativum (pea) long non-coding RNA (PSAT_LNC026714)". Lineage: Eukaryota; Viridiplantae; Streptophyta; Magnoliopsida; Fabales; Fabaceae. The record is from RNAcentral.
GAUGGUUUGUUGAUGGGUAUGUGUAGGAUUCUGUGAAAAGGUUGGGGAAGAAGAAGAAGAAAUGGAUUCAGUGAAGAAUCCUCUCCUUUUUUUCUAUUUCUUUUGUUUUGUGAACUUUCCUUUCAAUGUGUUUUUUUAUUUUUUCUCUUUAAUUGAUAGAGAACAUCAAAUUUAUGAGUUUCCCUUUUGAUUUGUGUUGGCUGAGUGUGACCCUUUGCAUUGGCGAACAACAUUCAAUUAUAUAAUU